Molecule: ribosomal RNA, 247 nt
Filed under: uncultured bacterium
Lineage: Bacteria
Description: partial 16S ribosomal RNA
Rfam family: Bacterial small subunit ribosomal RNA
Source: RNAcentral
GUACGGAGGGUGCAAGCGUUGUCCGGAUUUAUUGGGUUUAAAGGGUGCGUAGGUGGCUAUUUAAGUCUGUGUUGAAAUAUGUCGGCUCAACCGACAGACUGGCAUGGAUACUGUAAGACUUGAGUAUAAUUGAGGUAGGCGGAAUUAGUGGUGUAGCGGUGAAAUGCUUAGAUACCACUAGGAACACCGAUAGCGAAGGCAGCUUACCAAGUUAUUACUGACGCUCAGGCACGAAAGCGUGGGGAGC